AGCGGCGGACGGGUGAGUAACACGUGGGUAACCUGCCCAAGAGACUGGGAUAACACCUGGAAACAGAUGCUAAUACCGGAUAACAACACUAGACGCAUGUCUAGAGCUUGAAAGAUGGUUCUGCUAUCACUCUUGGAUGGACCUGCGGUGCAUUAGCUAGUUGGUAAGGUAACGGCUUACCAAGGCAAUGAUGCAUAGCCGAGUUGAGAGACUGAUCGGCCACGUUGGGACUGAGACACGGCCCAAACUCCUACGGGAGGCAGCAGUAGGGAAUCUUCCACAAUGGACGAAAGUCUGAUGGAGCAACGCCGCGUGAGUGAAGAAGGGUUUCGGCUCGUAAAGCUCUGUUGGUAGUGAAGAAAGAUAGAGGUAGUAACUGGCCUUUAUUUGACGGUAAUUACUUAGAAAGUCACGGCUAACUACGUGCCAGCAGCCGCGGUAAUACGUAGGUGGCAAGCGUUGUCCGGAUUUAUUGGGCGUAAAGCGAGUGCAGGCGGUUCAAUAAGUCUGAUGUGGAAGCCUUCGGCUCAACCGGAGAAUUGCAUCAGAAACUGUUGAACUUGAGUGCAGAAGAGGAGAGUGGAACUCCAUGUGUAGCGGUGGAAUGCGUAGAUAUAUGGAAGAACACCAGUGGCGAAGGCGGCUCUCUGGUCUGCAACUGACGCUGAGGCUCGAAAGCAUGGGUAGCGAACAGGAUUAGAUACCCUGGUAGUCCAUGCCGUAAACGAUGAGUGCUAAGUGU
This 742-nucleotide ribosomal RNA is filed under the name uncultured bacterium. RNAcentral's name for it is "bacterial SSU rRNA". It matches the Rfam family "Bacterial small subunit ribosomal RNA", at positions 94 to 823 of the family's 1533-position model. The record is from RNAcentral.